This 264-nucleotide ribosomal RNA is filed under the name uncultured bacterium. RNAcentral describes it as "partial 16S ribosomal RNA". It matches the Rfam family "Bacterial small subunit ribosomal RNA", at positions 793 to 1055 of the family's 1533-position model. The record is from RNAcentral.
GUCCACGCCGUAAACGAUGUCAACUAGCCGUUGGUCCUUUUUAUAGGAUUAGUGGCGCAGCUAACGCAUUAAGUUGACCGCCUGGGGAGUACGGCCGCAAGGUUAAAACUCAAAUGAAUUGACGGGGGCCCGCACAAGCGGUGGAGCAUGUGGUUUAAUUCGAUGCAACGCGAAGAACCUUACCUACCCUUGACAUCCAGAGAAUCUGUGAGAGAUCGUAGAGUGCCUUCGGGAGCUCUGAGACAGGUGCUGCAUGGCUGUCGU